UAUGGCUAUAAGUACUUACUGGUGUUUAUAGAUACCUUUUCAGGAUGGACUGAGGCUUUUCCAACCAAGCAUGAGACUGCACAGGUAGUGGCAAAGAAACUACUCGAAGAUAUUCUGCCCAGGUAUGGCUUUCCUGGUCUGGCUUCCAUACUUGGGGUUAAUUGGAAAUUACAUUGUGCAUAUAGACCCCAGAGUUCAGGACAGGUAGAAAGAAUGAACAGAACCUUAAAAGAGACCCUUGCUAAAUUGACCAUGGAGACUGGUGCUAACUGGGUGGCUCUGCUCCCCUACGCUCUGUAUCGAGUACGCAACACCCCAUAUAAGCUGGGGUUCACACCUUAUGAGAUCAUGUAUGGUAGGCCUCCUCCCAUCAUUCCUAAACUCAGAACUGACCUUACCCAGUCAGAUCAUGAUAACUCCUUUUUAUUCUCCCUCCAAGCUUUACAACGAGUCCAUAGACGUAUUUGGCCAAGACUAAGGGACUUACAUGCAACAGGACCUCCGUCUGUACCCCAUCAGUUCCACCCAGGAGAUUGGGUUCUUGUCAAGCGACACCGAGCCGAGACCCUCGAGCCUCGUUGGAAGGGACCUUUCCAGGUUAUCCUGACUACCCCUGCAGCCAUCAAGGUGGACAGCAUAGCAACCUGGAUACACCACACCCAUGCGAAGCCAGUCGACCCACUGUCAGAUCUCAUCAGAAAACCCAACCAGGACGUCAGUUGGACCGUGGACCACAAUGAAUUGCAGACAAUGGCACAAGUCAGGAACCCAAGAGUUGAGCUAAACUUCACCUUUCCCUUCAUCUCUGAAAUUUGGUAAGUACCAUGUAAAUCUAUGCUUUAUAAUUUGUGCAGAAGAAAAAUACUAUAGCACAAAGGAUGCACUGGGGAGAGAUUACUCUUAUGGAGUUCUUAUAUUUGGUGACAGGUGCCUGGGUGGCUCAGUUGAUUAAGUGUCCUACUCUUGAUUUUGCUCAGGUUAUGGGAUCAAAACCAGCUUUGGGCUCCACAUUCAGCCGGAAGUCUUCUUGAGAUUCUCUCUCUUGCUCCCCCGCCCCUCCUCCCAU
Mustela erminea (ermine) is the source of this 1066-nucleotide long non-coding RNA. RefSeq lists it as uncharacterized. The record is from RefSeq and is a predicted model, not a curated record. The transcript has 3 exons. Lineage: Eukaryota; Metazoa; Chordata; Mammalia; Carnivora; Mustelidae.